AACAUAACGAAAGGGUAGUGAAUUUGCCCACAGUGUAUUGUUAAGUUUUUGAAAAUUUUCAAAGCAUUUUCCCAAAAUAUGUGUCAAAAUAAAAUUUGUCACCAAAAAUCAUUCCAUUAGCUGAAACAGAGAAAGUUGUGGCCAAAAUAAGACUCAACUUUACCCCCUAGUGGACGAAAACGUCCCCAACAACACAUAAGGGUUAAAUUGAUUAUUUGAUUAACAAUUUAAUUAGAUUUAAGUUAUUUAUUUACGACAUCUUUAUGUUUAGCCUAUGUAAAUUCUGCGUGUUUUAACGAGCGCGCGCUGAACAUUGGAGUAGCGUUCAUUCAGAUACAAACACCGGAGCGGAGGGAGUUGCCAUGGAAACGGGGCGACCGACAACACUGGCAAGCUGCAAGCUCCGUUUCUUGCUGCUGUUUUCACUGCUUUCGAUUCUUCCGUGUUUGAUGUUCUUCUGCAUCCCAGAGUCUGAGCAAGCCUCCUGUCCAACAACAUCUCCAAGACACACUGAACCAUACGACUAGCAGGGAAAAACACAUCGUGGACCAAAGAGGAAACUGACAACACACAGACAGACAAGACAGAGAAGGUUGCUUCUGCCUCGUGUGUGAAGACUUCAGAAGAUGCCAGACCUCACAAAGAUUUCAGAUGAUGGCAACUAUAGAUGAACAUGCAAAGCUGCUAAAUAAUUCUUAUAUUGUAAUCAUUGCCCUAAAAGGAAGGAUCUUAUCAGCAAAUCUACUUCACAGCACAUCAGUGAAAGCAGUUGACAGUUACGGAUGGGUGUGUUGGAUCAGGGUCAGAUCUGAAUUCUGAUGGUUUUCUGGGAUGACAGUUGAAGAUGAUCAGAACAUCAGAUGUUGGUCUGGACAGCUGUACCUACAGUACACCACACUGACCUCUCUGCUUUUGCAUGGAUAACUGACUUACUACCAUGUUCUGUGAAGGUAUUAUUAUAGCAAACCUGAGCACCUGUGACAGUGGAAUAGUUGUAAUGAAUAGUCACACAUGCAUAUUGGUAAAUUUAAAGUUACAGAUAAUUUUUUUUAGUACUAGCAAUAUUUUUAUUUUUAUUUUUUAUUUUUUAUUAAUUCUCUCCAGCAAACACAACACAACAGUUACACCAUUUCGAAUUCUGAGGUGCACAAAUCCUAUUCUACAAAUAAGAGAACAACAGUAUAAAAGUGCUCAGUUUAGCCUCUUUCACACUGAGAUUCCGGAUAAAACACGGGUAAUGUGUCCCGGCAAUUGUUCCCGGAUUGUUAGAUUUUGGUUCAUUCACACUGCCAGUGAUAGCGUUCACACACAACCCAUAAAGGUCCCGUAAUGACACGAGACAUCAGGAUGUGAUGUGUAAUGUAUGAGUUAAAAAUGCUAGGCCGCCAAUAAACGGAAGAAGGAGAAGAAGCAAAGCAGAAGUGUUUUCAAUGCUUUAUAAACAUGGCAGCUGAUCAGCUACUAGGGACAUUGUUGUUUAUGUAUAAAGCAUCUUCCACACAGAAAUUCCGGAAAAUACACGGAUAAUGUGUUCCAGGAUCCUUUGAUUGUGGUUCAUUUACACUGGCAGUGAUUUUCUGGAAUCUGUGUGUCACACACAACCCAUAAAGAUCCCGUAAAGACACAUGACAUUACGAUGCGACGUGUUUUGUUUCACUUAAGCUGGCGAACGAUCUCAGCUUUAGCACGGAUAGUGAGGAACUAACUGAUCUCUGCUUCAUUACAGUUUGCACAUAUUUUUUCGUCACGAAUGUUGAUCUGCCGUCAAAACACCCGGUAAAAGAGUCGCAUGAUAACGUGCGUCAUCACUACGACACACCCUUUACGCCAUUGGUUCUGGCUUUUGUUCACACAGAGCUCGUUCCGGGACUGAACCCAGCAAUGUUCCUAGGUCCCCAAACCAGGAUCAGUCCCGGAAUCAAUCCCGGGACGUGUUUGCGUUCACACAGAAGGCACUUUGGCAAUUUUCCAGCAAUUUUUUGGGACCACCGUGCAGUGUGAAAGGGGCUUUAGUCUAGCACAGUACACAUUUAGUUACAAGUUAUUUAUUUAUAUUAUUUUAUUUUUUUUAUUUUUUUUACAAAUAAGAGCAAACUGAAUAAAAUAGGAUUGAACUGAAUAGAAAAGGUAAGUGCUAGUAUUAAUUGAUCAGGUGCUGAUGGAAAAAGAGGUGUCUUUAAUGUUUUUGGAAAAUGGCUGAAGACUCAGAUGCUCGAACUGAGAAAGGCAAGUCAUUCUACCAUGAUCUUAUCUACAAAUACUACUAUUCUCAUAAAGUCUGUAAAUAUGUCCAGUUCUAAUAAACACACAUUUCAGGAAAAAAUAAUUCAAUAAUAUGACCAAAAUGAAAUACAGUCCUGCAUAAAUCUGGUAUAACUGAGCCUGUGAAUUUCUUAAUUUGUGAUUUGUAGAAUAGGAUUUAUGCACCUGCAAUGAAGAUUUUUGAGAAGGUUUUGUUGUGUUUGUUAGAGAGAAAGAAACAAAAUACAAGCUUGCAACUCCAAAAACAUUUUCUUGAUGACUUUAUUGAAAUAUUCUCUACAAAUACAAAUUCCACUGUCACAGGUGCUCAAUUUUGUUACAAUAAUAUACAAAGUGUCUCGAAUGUACUAUAGAUGUACUGUAUGCAAAUAUAACAAAAGGACAUUAACAACUGAAUAUUCAGGGGAUGCAAACUUAUCACCUUUAAGUAAAAAUAGUCAUUUUGAAUCCAAAAAUCAUUUGCAUGAUUUGUGUAGAUCCAAAGAGUUUUUAAAAGUGCAUUAGUUAAAUAGCACAUGCUAAAUAGCACAAGGCAUAUUUUACAUGUUAUUUACAUAAUAAAAAGAUAAGGAAUACAUAUUUUACAUCAAAUGUUGCCAUUUUAUAUUAAAAUAUACAAAAGAUAAUACCCCCAAACUUGAGAGAAAUGUAAUAAUGGAGUGAUGGUAAAUGUAUAAAAAAGCAACUAAAAAUUAACUUUAUUGUCUUAGUUAUUUGUCUGUCUAUUGUGGGUUACAUUGUCACCUUUUUCAAACCUGACCUGAAUAGUUCACAUCCCUGAUAUUACAAAGAACUCAAGUUUUAAUUGCAAAUGAAAAUGUGCCUCUCUCUUUUAUACAAGGGUAAGAAUUUUUUUUUUUUUUUUUUUUUUUUUUUAGAAAAGUAAUGAUAGUGAACCAUGACUGAAGCUGUCAGUCUCUUAAAGUUCUGUUUUGCAUCUACUUUUGUGCCCCACUGAAAAUAAAAGUCAAACACAUUUGGUAAUAACAUUUUUAUUCAGUAAAUAUGGCUUUUAAUUUGUUACUUGACACUAUUUAUAUUAGCCUAUAAUAUACUUUAUACCUCUUUGUGUGUGUAUUUGUGUGUAAAUGCAUUUUCUUUGAUAGAUCUUAGAGGGUUUGUGCUCUAAACGUGUAUUUGUAACUGUGUAUAAACUGUAUUGUAUAAAUAAUAAAGAAAUUAUGACAAUGUGAUGUGUGUUUAAUAAAUUAUUACAUAUAACAGGCUAAUUUAUUUAGUACCAAGUAAGUGAGAUUUUUAAAACAAGCAGAAAAUGUUAAUAGCAACGUAAUUUUACCCAUAUGAAAUCAACAUCGUUUCAACGUUAGGUUAGCAAACCAAUUAGUUCGAUUUUAUGUUGAAAACGUGUUGAUUCUCUGACAUCGUUUCAACCAACUGAAAAUCAACGUCGAUUUAACGUUAGGAAAGUGAACCAAUUGCGUCGAUUCCGGAUUAAACGCUGCUGCUAAUUAAA
Cyprinus carpio carpio is the source of this 3736-nucleotide long non-coding RNA. Lineage: Eukaryota; Metazoa; Chordata; Actinopteri; Cypriniformes; Cyprinidae. The record is from Ensembl.